This 416-nucleotide ribosomal RNA is filed under the name uncultured eukaryote. Its description in RNAcentral is "SSU rRNA". It matches the Rfam family "Eukaryotic small subunit ribosomal RNA", at positions 567 to 990 of the family's 1831-position model. The record is from RNAcentral.
CCAGGACCCGCGGUAAUUCCAGCUCCAAUAGCGUAUAUUUAAGUUGUUGCAGUUAAAAAGCUCGUAGUUGGAUUUCGGGUGGGUUCUAGCGGUCCGCCUAUGGUGAGUACUGCUAUGGCCUUCCUUUCUACCAUAAACGGGCUCCUGGGCUUAACUGUCCGGGACUCGGGUGUGGUGCAGUUACUUUGAGUAAAUUAGAGUGUUCAAAGCAGGCUUACGCCCUGAAUACUUUAGCAUGGAAUAACACGAUAGGACUCUGCCCUAUCUUGUUGGCCUGUAGGGGUGGAGUAAUGAUUAAGAGGGACAGUCGGGGGCAUUCGUAUUUCAUUGUCAGAGGUGAAAUUCUUGGAUUUAUGAAAGACGAACUACUGCGAAAGCAUUUGCCAAGGAUGUUUUCAUCAAUCAAGAACGAAAGU